GGGAGCAUAGCUCAGCGGUUAGAGCAGGGGUCUCAUAAACCCUUGGUCGUCGGUUCGAGUCCGACUGCUCCCA
Molecule: transfer RNA, 73 nt
Filed under: Planctomycetota bacterium
Lineage: Bacteria; Pseudomonadati; Planctomycetota
Description: tRNA-Ile
Rfam family: tRNA
About the family: Transfer RNA (tRNA) molecules are approximately 80 nucleotides in length. Their secondary structure includes four short double-helical elements and three loops (D, anti-codon, and T loops).
Source: RNAcentral